This 66-nucleotide transfer RNA is filed under the name Leptothorax acervorum. RNAcentral's name for it is "tRNA-Asn". Lineage: Eukaryota; Metazoa; Arthropoda; Insecta; Hymenoptera; Formicidae. The record is from RNAcentral. RNAcentral also lists the same sequence under 1 other name.
UUAACUAAAACCAAAAAGAGGUAAAUUAUUGUUAAUAAUUUUAUUGAAUAUUUUAUUCUAGUUAAU